RNAcentral lists this unclassified non-coding RNA (335 nucleotides) under Phyllospongia papyracea. RNAcentral describes it as "sequence contains 28S rRNA gene". Lineage: Eukaryota; Metazoa; Porifera; Demospongiae; Dictyoceratida; Thorectidae. The record is from RNAcentral.
ACGCGGCGGCGGAGACCGUCCCGUGCCGGCCGCCCAAGGCAGUGCCGUACUCCUCGCGAGCGCGGACCAGCAGCGGUUAGACCGGAGCGACAAGGCGACAGCGGAAGGUGAGUCGAUGAGGGCACGUCUCGCAUCGACAGCUUACAGCCCUGGCGUACGAUGCUCCGGUGCGACCGAGGAACAUGGGCAGCCCUUGCCCGCCGUGGCGCACGCCGCAUGGCGGGGCCUCCCGACGCGAGUGAACCGUGCGGUGUGGACUGCGUGCAGUGCUCACCGUGGCGGAGAUCUCGCGCCGGAGAGCGCCACUUGUGCGCCAUCGCUGCUGGUAGUCGGAU